RNAcentral lists this ribosomal RNA (564 nucleotides) under Bos taurus (domestic cattle). RNAcentral describes it as "partial 12S ribosomal RNA". It matches the Rfam family "Archaeal small subunit ribosomal RNA", at positions 3 to 905 of the family's 1478-position model. Lineage: Eukaryota; Metazoa; Chordata; Mammalia; Artiodactyla; Bovidae. The record is from RNAcentral.
CAUAGGUUUGGUCCCAGCCUUCCUGUCAACUCUUAAUAAACUUACACAUGCAAGCAUCUACACCCCAGUGAGAAUGCCCUCUAGGUUAUUAAAACUAAGAGAGGAGCUGGCAUCAAGCACACACCCUGUAGCUCACGACGCCUUGCUUAACCACAACUAAGUUAUAUUAAUUAGGGUUGGUAAAUCUCGUGCCAGCCACCGCGGUCAUACGAUUAACCCAAGCUAACAGGAGUACGGCGUAAAACGUGUUAAAGCACCAUACCAAAUAGGGUUAAAUUCUAACUAAGCUGUAAAACCCCCACGGGAAACAGCAGUGACAAAAAUUAAGCCAUAAACGAAAGUUUGAGCCAUGAUUAAAAUAAAAAUAAAUGACGAAAGUGACCCUACAAUAGCCGACGCACUAUAGCUAAGACCCAAACUGGGAUUAGAUACCCCACUAUGCUUAGCCCUAAACACAGAUAAUUACAUAAACAAAAUUAUUCUGCCAGAGUACUACUAGCAACAGCUUAAAACUCAAAGGACUUGGCGGUGCUUUAUAUCCUUCUAGAGGAGCCUGUUCUAUAU